GAUGAACGCUGGCGGCGUGCCUAAUACAUGCAAGUCGAGCGAACAGAUAAGGAGCUUGCUCCUUUGACGUUAGCGGCGGACGGGUGAGUAACACGUGGGUAACCUACCUAUAAGACUGGGAUAACUUCGGGAAACCGGAGCUAAUACCGGAUAACAUUUGGAACCGCAUGGUUCUAAAGUGAAAGAUGGUUUUGCUAUCACUUAUAGAUGGACCCGCGCCGUAUUAGCUAGUUGGUAAGGUAACGGCUUACCAAGGCGACGAUACGUAGCCGACCUGAGAGGGUGAUCGGCCACACUGGAACUGAGACACGGUCCAGACUCCUACGGGAGGCAGCAGUAGGGAAUCUUCCGCAAUGGGCGAAGGCCUGACGGAGCAACGCCGCGUGAGUGAUGAAGGGUUUCGGCUCGUAAAACUCUGUUAUUAGGGAAGAACAAACGUGUAAGUAACUGUGCACGUCUUGACGGUACCUAAUCAGAAAGCCACGGCUAACUACGUG
This 497-nucleotide ribosomal RNA is filed under the name uncultured bacterium. RNAcentral's name for it is "partial 16S ribosomal RNA". It matches the Rfam family "Bacterial small subunit ribosomal RNA", at positions 28 to 507 of the family's 1533-position model. The record is from RNAcentral.